UAAGGUAGCGAAAUUCCUUGUCGGGUAAGUUCCGACCUGCACGAAUGGCGUAACGACUUCCCCACUGUCUCAACAAGAGGCCCAGCGAAAUUGGAGUGCGCGUGAAGAUACGCGCUACCCGCGGAAGGACGAAAAGACCCCGUGAACCUUUACUGUAACUUGGCAUUGGGUUUCGAUUAACGAUGCGUAGGAUAGGUGGGAGAUUUUGAUCCGUGCGUUCUGGCGUACGGGGAGUCAUCCUUGAAAUACCACCCUUGGCCGUUUAGAUGUCUAACCUGCGUCGGAUAGCCCGGCGGGGGACAGUGUCUGGUGGGUAGUUUGACUGGGGCGGUCUCCUCCCAAAGAGUAACGGAGGAGCACGAAGGUUGGCUAAUCAUGGUCGGAAAUCAUGAGGUUAGUGUAAUGGCACAAGCCAGCUUGACUGCGAGACGUACAUGUCGAGCAGGUACGAAAGUAGGUCAUAGUGAUCCGGUGGUUCUGAAUGGAAGGGCCAUCGCUCAACGGAUAAAAGGUACUCCGGGGAUAACAGGCUUAUCUCCCCCAAGAGUUCACAUCGACGGGGAGGUUUG
RNAcentral lists this ribosomal RNA (569 nucleotides) under Alexandrium tamarense. RNAcentral's name for it is "partial Bacterial large subunit ribosomal RNA". It matches the Rfam family "Bacterial large subunit ribosomal RNA", at positions 1952 to 2520 of the family's 2925-position model. Lineage: Eukaryota; Dinophyceae; Gonyaulacales; Pyrocystaceae. The record is from RNAcentral.